Selaginella moellendorffii is the source of this 2455-nucleotide RNA transcript. It is a transcript of the gene named kinesin-like protein KIN-14U, with no coding region annotated. The transcript has 11 exons. NCBI's taxonomy places the organism in Eukaryota, Viridiplantae, Streptophyta, Lycopodiopsida, Selaginellales, Selaginellaceae. The record is from RefSeq and is a predicted model, not a curated record.
ACCCUUGCCUUGGAAGUGUUGUUUGCGAAGUUCUUGCGAGUUCUUUCGUGGGUGUGAGAAGUUCGUGACAGAAAUGCCAUAGCCUUGGAGGUUUUUGCGGUCGAUCAAGUCCUCCGCCUUUGUCUCUGUGUCGAUUAUCGGAGCUGGGCUCCCUUUUUUUUUCUUUCUUGAUGAAUGGUUUUUUCCUGGAAAACAGUGCAGACUGCUGCAUCGACUGAAUAGUUCUCGCCCACCGAUCGAGACAAACAAAGUUUUUAUGUCGGAGAAACUUUCACAGUCGCUCAGGAGCUUUUCUUUAUUUUCGCUGUUCAUCCUCUUUCUGUGAUGACUACUGCUUUCCUUUUGCUAAUGGCAGUCCUGUGCUUUUGUCUGCAGCUUCAAUCAUUUUGAGAACAUCUCCAUUGCCUCUGGAUGUUUUCUAAGAAGUAGCAACCACAGUUUGUGAUGGGAUCUCUCGAUCUCGAUCAGUCGUUCGAGCGGCUCGGGGAUUCUUUCAGGUGUCUCAGCCUGGACGCGCGCAAGGAAUUUAGCCUCGUGAACUCGGUGAAGCUCGUCAUCGAGGACUUCCAUUCGGAGGGCUCUCAGGAAGACAACGCUAGUGGCAGCAAACCAGGAGAUUCUCUCGGAGCUCUCGAAGGAGAGCUCAUUCUACUCAAGGCAGCUUUUGCUCUGUCGAAUGUUAACAGAAGGCUGAGCCUCGGCAAGCUACUCGAUCUCCAAGGGAAUGUACGAGUGUUUUGCAGAGUGAGGCCUUAUCUCCCUCACGAAAAUGUCGCCCAUGCCUGCGAGGUUGUCUCUCCGACCGAGGUUCGCGUCUCUUCCAACGGGGAGCCUUCCAAAACGUUCAAGUUUGAUAAAGUAUUUUCUCCCUCGGCCUCGCAAGAGGAUGUUUUUCUGGACGUGCAGCCGACUAUCAAGUCUGCUCUGGACGGCCACAACAUUUGUAUAUUCUCUUACGGCCAAACAGGCACUGGGAAGACUUACACAAUGGAAGGCCAGAAAGGAGCCCCUGGAAUUGUUCCUCGGACACUGCAGCAGCUUUUCAAGGACAAGAAUUUGCCAACCAGUGACUAUCGCUUCACUUUGAGCAUGUUGGAGAUUUACAAAGGAACACUGCGUGAUCUUCUGGUUCCUCGGCCGACGCGACUAACAGACCCUCCAGCAAAAAGCUUGAAUAUUCAUCUGAGCGUUUCGGAUCACGUAGAGGUCGAGAACCUGACGGAGUAUGUGAUAGACAAUCUCUCAGACGCUCUCAAGUUUUACAGGAAAGGUACUCGUGCCAGAUCCACUUCGUCCACAAGCUCAAAUGAAAGCUCCAGCAGAUCACACUGCUUGGUUCGAGUAAACAUUGUUCGCAAGUCCCAGUUAGAUAAAGUCUCGAGAAGCAAAGUGUGGCUUAUUGAUCUCGGUGGCAGCGAACGCUUCUUCAAAACCCAGGCAUGGGGUAAGGUUUUGGAGGAAGGCAAAUCCAUCAACGUCUCCCUCACUGCACUGGGAGACGUGAUCAGUGCUCUACAAAAAAAGCAAGCACACAUUCCUUACAGGAACAGCAAGCUGACGCAAAUUCUUCGGGAUUGCCUCGGAUGUAACUCCAAAGUUGUCAUGUUCGUCCAUGCAAGUCCCAGGGAGGAGGACUCGGCAGAGACCAUUUGUUCCUUGACGUUCGCAGCUAGAGCGCGAGGAAUUCACUUAAGUCGCGACUGUGCAGCAAAAUCCCGGGAGCGAGAAGCGCGGAUCUCCAGCAUCGUCCAGAAAAUGGAGGCUCUGGAAGGUGAGUGCCAGCGCCUAAGUGUCGAUAUCCAGGCUCUCGAGUCGACCAUCAACGAGAAGAAAAGAAACUCCACACGUUUCAGUGACGCUCAUCAGCUCCUCGAAAGCUCUGACCAUCGCAACGACAAGCUAACCUGUGCGGUUACGACGAAUCCAUCUCCAAGUACACCAUCUUUGCCGAGGUUUAUGACACCGACGAUAAGCAGCCUGUGCAAGAACCGGUGCGCGUUGCAAGAGUUCAACGAGCCAAUCUGGCCGGAAAGCCUGCUCGCCAAGAAGAUCAAGAGCUUCGCUAGCUCGGACUCUCCGCAGAUUUCCAUCGAUCUGGGAAGAAAACGCGCUAUAGUUCCCGCUUCUCGGCAAAGGAUUCAUCAUCCACAGCAGCAGCAGCAGCAGCAAGUAAGAAAUCCGGCUCUCAUGACUCCAAAUGGACAGGAGGAAGACUCGAGCACUCCAACAAAGGCUGCUCUAGCAUCCAGAUCUAGGAGCGCAGCUCAUGUGAAAUGGAGCAAAGAAGAGAUGGAGCAGCAACGAUCGUCGAGAACUAAGAUCCAGAGGCGGCUCACACUGGAGUGCUCUAGCCGAUUGAGCGUCAACUUCUGAUCAAGCAUAAGCUUAGGAAACUACGACCUUUCUCUAUAGUUUGUGCUCGAGUUUGUAAACGAGUUUUCUUGUGCUCAUGAUC